RNAcentral lists this transfer RNA (69 nucleotides) under Marmota monax (woodchuck). Its description in RNAcentral is "tRNA.Ala". Lineage: Eukaryota; Metazoa; Chordata; Mammalia; Rodentia; Sciuridae. The record is from RNAcentral.
GCAAUUGUAGCUCAGUGGCAGAGCGCUUGCCUAGCAUGUAUGAGGCACUGUGUUCUAUCCUCAGCACCA